RNAcentral lists this ribosomal RNA (377 nucleotides) under uncultured bacterium. RNAcentral describes it as "bacterial SSU rRNA". It matches the Rfam family "Bacterial small subunit ribosomal RNA", at positions 523 to 898 of the family's 1533-position model. The record is from RNAcentral.
AUACGUAGGUGGCAAGCGUUAUCCGGAUUUAUUGGGCGUAAAGCGAGCGCAGGCGGUUUUUUAAGUCUGAUGUGAAAGCCCUCGGCUUAACCGAGGAAGUGCAUCGGAAACUGGGAAACUUGAAUGCUGAAGAGGACAGUGGAACUCCAUGUGUAGCGGUGAAAUGCGUAGAUAUAUGGAAGAACACCAGUGGCGAAGGCGGCUGUCUGGUCAGUUAUUGACGCUGAGGCUCGAAAGCAUGGGUAGCGAACAGGAUUAGAUACCCUGGUAGUCCAUGCCGUAAACGAUGAAUACUAGGUGUUGGAGGGUUUCCGCCCUUCAGUGCCGCAGCUAACGCAUUAAGUAUUCCGCCUGGGGAGUACGACCGCAAGGUUGAA